ACCGAUCCCAGUACGAGUAAAAAGCGACACAAGAACACUCUUUUCCAUGAUCGGAAGACUCCGAAUGCCAUCCUGCAAUAAUAAAUCCCUCUUACGGUGCAAUCUUCACCAGGAGUAACCGUACAAUUACAUACUCCGCCGACUUGCGCCAAGAGACAGAGCCCAACAGAGGUCGUCUCCAUGUAUGUCGACGUCAUGCCAAUGACCGUUGGGGAGCCACUGAACAAUUUGAACAUUUCGAAACAUAUUCUUGGAGACAUCGGGGCUUAUGUAAGCUGGCGUUCUUCUCCACUCCCAUUAGCCGCUGUGGGGAAGUGCAUAUUCAGUGGGACCAUGAAGGGGGACUUCUAGCGUGAAGAUCGACCACGGACUAAAUGAGAGGAGAAUGGGGUCCUGAGGUACAUAGUCCUGGGAUUCAUCGUACUAUGGAGAUAUCACACGGAAACUAAAAUACUGUAGCUACAGUACUGUAGAAGAAAAAAAAAACACCACAUUCCA
This 498-nucleotide unclassified non-coding RNA is filed under the name Yarrowia lipolytica. Lineage: Eukaryota; Fungi; Ascomycota; Dipodascomycetes; Dipodascales. The record is from RNAcentral.